GCGGGCGUAGUUUAGUGGUAAAACCUUAGCCUUCCAAGCUAAUGAUAGGGUUUCGAUUACCCUCGCCCGCU
Molecule: transfer RNA, 71 nt
Filed under: Leptolyngbyaceae cyanobacterium CRU_2_3
Lineage: Bacteria; Bacillati; Cyanobacteriota; Cyanophyceae; Leptolyngbyales; Leptolyngbyaceae
Also listed under: 2 other names
Description: tRNA-Gly
Rfam family: tRNA
About the family: Transfer RNA (tRNA) molecules are approximately 80 nucleotides in length.
Source: RNAcentral